GGGAGAAGUGAAGGAUUCACUGAGGCAGCAGUCCCGAGGCUCUUUGCUGUCCUGUGAGGGGGGAAAAAAAGACAGAAUGAAGGUGGCGAUGGAAGCCUGCUGCUGUCUCAAACAGAAGAAGCAGGUGAUUUGACUGAGCGAAUGACGCACAAGACAGACGGAUGUGUGAAAUUAAAAGAUUCUGGUCAUCUCAGCAUUCUCCUCCUCUUAGACCUCACUGCAGCCUUCAACACCAUCAACCAUACCAUUCUUCUCUACUGCUGAGAAUCCUCCCUCAACAUCACUGACACCGCC
This is a long non-coding RNA of Fundulus heteroclitus (mummichog), 294 nucleotides long. RefSeq lists it as uncharacterized. Lineage: Eukaryota; Metazoa; Chordata; Actinopteri; Cyprinodontiformes; Fundulidae. The record is from RefSeq and is a predicted model, not a curated record. The transcript has 4 exons.